Molecule: ribosomal RNA, 440 nt
Filed under: uncultured bacterium
Lineage: Bacteria
Description: partial 16S ribosomal RNA
Rfam family: Bacterial small subunit ribosomal RNA
Source: RNAcentral
CCUACGGGAGGCAGCAGUGGGGAAUAUUGCACAAUGGGGGAAACCCUGAUGCAGCGACGCCGCGUGAGUGAAGAAGUAUUUCGGUACGUAAAGCUCUAUCAGCAGGGAAGAAAAUGACGGUACCUGACUAAGCAGCCCCGGCUAACUACGUGCCAGCAGCCGCGGUAAUACGUAGGGGGCAAGCGUUAUCCGGAUUUACUGGGUGUAAAGGGAGCGUAGACGGCAGCGCAAGUCUGGAGUGAAAUCCCAUGGCUUAACCAUGGAACUGCUUUGGAAACUGUGCAGCUAGAGUGCAGGAGAGGUAAGCGGAAUUCCUAGUGGAGCGGUGAAAUGCGUAGAUAUUAGGAGGAACACCAGUGGCGAAGGCGGCUUACUGGACUGUAACUGACGUUGAGGCUCGAAAGCGUGGGGAGCAAACAGGAUUAGAUACCCGUGUAGUC